Molecule: ribosomal RNA, 813 nt
Filed under: uncultured Planctomycetota bacterium
Lineage: Bacteria; Pseudomonadati; Planctomycetota
Description: bacterial SSU rRNA
Rfam family: Bacterial small subunit ribosomal RNA
Source: RNAcentral
UAAUUAGGCAUGCAGUCGAGCGAUGGGCCCUCCCUCGGGAGGGAGACCGAGCGGCGAAAGGGUGAGUAAUAUAUAGGCAACUUACCCCCGGGACGGGGAUAGCGUCGGGAAACCGGCGGUAAUACCCGAUGGCACAUGUUUUUCGCAUGGGUGGCAUGUUAAAGGGUGGGGAUCCUUCGGGACCUUCCGCCCGGGGAGAGGCCUAUAUCCUAUUAGCUUGUUGGUGGGGUAACGGCCCACCAAGGCUGUGAUGGGUAGCCGGACUGAGAGGUUGGCCGGUCACACUGGGACUGAGACACUGCCCAGACUUCUACGGAAGGCUGCAGUCGAGAAUCAUUCGCAAUGGGCGCAAGCCUGACGAUGCGACGCCGCGUGGAUGAUGAAGGCCCUCGGGUUGUAAAGUCCUGUCAGGUGUUAAGAAAUGCGGUGGGGGAAAUAUUCCCACCGUUUGACGAAGGCACCAGAGGAAGCCACGGCUAACUUCGUGCCAGCAGCCGCGGUAACACGAAGGUGGCAAGCGUUGUUCGGAAUUAUUGGGCAUAAAGGGCACGUAGGCGGGAUGGUAAGUCGGUAGUGAAAGCCCUCGGCUCAACCGAGGAAUUGCUUCCGAUACUGCCUUCCUCGAGUACAGGAGGGGGAGAGUGGAACUCUUGGUGGAGCGGUGAAAUGCGUUGAUAUCAAGGGGAACGCCGGCGGCGAAAGCGACUCUCUGGCCUGUUACUGACGCUGAGGUGCGAAAGCCAGGUGAGCAACGGGAUUAGAUACCCCGGUAGUCCUGGCCGUAACGAUGGGCACUAAGUAGAGGGGUUUAAU